RNAcentral lists this long non-coding RNA (724 nucleotides) under Zonotrichia albicollis (white-throated sparrow). RNAcentral's name for it is "lncRNA (ENSZALG00000005843.1)". Lineage: Eukaryota; Metazoa; Chordata; Aves; Passeriformes; Passerellidae. The record is from RNAcentral.
AAAAAUAUUGCAAUGGAAAAAAACAUUUUGCUGUCUUCAGUGUUUGGUUCAGCAUAAUUAACGUGACUAAUGCAAGACAAUUUUCUGAUAGUUAUUAUAUUAGAGAGCUUAGCUGACUCAUAACUGCCCCCAUGACAGAGCCAGAAUGCAAAUUACUUGGAUAGAAAUAGCACAGAGCUGGUUUGAUUAAAAUGUGAUACAUAUUUUGAAUUAAAAAUAUGCAAGGUCUUACCAAAUGACCUCAGUGUCGUGUCUCUCCUUGCCCCAAGGCCCCUGAAGGAAUUUGCAUGAUCAUUUGGAGACAGCUUCUCCCUUUCCCUCUGUGGAUCCAGAAUCUCUGCCAUUCAUGGAAAAUCAGCAUGAAAAGCAUAAAUCCAUGGGAAUGAGUGGAAUUGAGUGUGGCACCAUCUCUGCUGAACUGUGGAAACUUUCUGCAAUUAAUUGCACAAUCACUUCAUUUGGAAGAGCAACUGCUAUCAGCUCUGAAUGGCUCCCACAUCUCAGGCACCACUGAGCAGCGGGGUGUUGGCAGCAGAGAGGCUGAAACCUUCUCUCAACACAGGCAAAUAUUUCUGGGCAUCAGCAGCUCCUGCAGCAGAGGUGAGGGCAGGAGCAUCACAGCUGAGAUGGGUGGGGAGGCUGGGCUUGGGAUCCUCACUAACAAGUCAGGGAGGUGAAAAUGGUAUUGAAUUUGCCAGCAAAAUCCUUAAUCCUGGAGCACAGG